Heterocephalus glaber (naked mole-rat) is the source of this 1334-nucleotide long non-coding RNA. RefSeq lists it as uncharacterized. Lineage: Eukaryota; Metazoa; Chordata; Mammalia; Rodentia; Bathyergidae. The record is from RefSeq and is a predicted model, not a curated record.
GCUUUCUGAAGAGGAGCCUCCGAUCUCCCGGGGUUCACAGGAGUAGCUUCCUUCUCUCGGUGCUCCUUGCCCUCAGUUCAGGCGGGGCUGGCUUGGCCUGGAAGGGUGAUCCAGUCCUCUCCGCCACCUUGCUGCAGUGGAGGUGCAAGGAUCCCGGAAGGGCCCUUUCAUUCUGCCUUUAACUGGCCUGCAGGAGCCCCUCCUUUCCAACACGUAAGGAGCAUUCGGUCUCCACGGCAGACACGGGGUCCCCCGGCCGGAGCUGGCAGGACUGUGUCCCAUCCAGUUGGACAGCCGGCGUGUGUAUGCUCCGGACUCAUAAGAUCCCAAUUGCUGGACCCAGAAAAGGCCAUAUCCAGCAAUUGGGUCAUAGGGGCCUGGGGCCCCUCUGAAAUUUUUGUGACUUGCACCGAAUGUCUGGGGCUGAGAGACUAAUGUGGUUCUGUCUCAUCAUGCCUGACCUUCCUUGGAAGCUGGAUCUAGCUACAGAAACCAAACCGUUUACUUAGCCAAGAAUGUGAAGAAUGCCUCUGUCCCAAGUAUUUCCAGUUCUCACUGAAGCCACUGAGUACUCAGCACGGUUGCAAGCCACAGCCUUGUCCUGGUCCUCUCGACCUCCCUCCCAGGGCCACCUCUCCCUCUCCCGCCUGGAGAGCCCUUCCCAGGGGAGACAGAGGAGCAGAUCCAGAGACCAGAAGGCCCAGUGCCCUGACAUCAAGGCCGCAGGGCGAUGGAGGGCCCUCCCUGUCCCCAGAGGGAGUAAGCAAGGGAGAGACAGCAAGGGUUCACUUGAACUUCCUCUGCCCCCUAAGCCUGUUUCCCACCAGCAGCUGCUGCUCUCCCUCCUCUCCUACCUCCUCCUCCCCACCACUUAGGUCAGGCCCGCCUUGAACUCACUAUGUAGCCAGGCUUGCCUGGAACUCCCAGUGAUCCUCCUGCCUCGGCCUCCUGCAUGCUGGGAUCACAGGCUCGCUCCACCACACCUGGCUAACUUUCAGUGGAUUUAUUGGGAUGUGGCCCCAUUGUAAGUCCGGGAGCUCCUGACUCCCUUGGCAGUGGGGCAGAGAGACACAGAUGGCUAUUGGCAGGGUCACCAGCCAGCCUGCUUGUUUCCGGUCCUCCCUCUCACAAUCCAUCUCCACAAGGAAGCAGAGGGAUCUGCUCAACAUUCCCAGGAGGAAAGACGGGGCGGGGCCUGGGCCACCAUGGAGGAGCCCCUCCCCUCUGGCCCCAGCCUCUUCGUGAGCCACCCCGAGUGUCCCGAGUAACUGUGCCAUCAUCAUGUGAUCACGUGGGUGUGCAUGGAGACCCCAGUAAACCUUUGGUCCUGCCUG